CUCAAACCUGCAGCAGGUUUGAGUUGAGCGCAGCGAAACAACGGAGCCGCUCGCGGCGACGGCCCGAAGGGCGAGCGAAGCGAGUCAUCCUGCACGACCCACCA
Molecule: small RNA, 104 nt
Filed under: Escherichia coli
Lineage: Bacteria; Pseudomonadati; Pseudomonadota; Gammaproteobacteria; Enterobacterales; Enterobacteriaceae
Description: partial RtT sRNA
Rfam family: RtT RNA
About the family: This family represents a bacterial cis-regulatory element known as RtT RNA. The exact function of RtT is unknown although it is thought that it may be involved in changing the cellular response in relation to amino acid starvation.
Source: RNAcentral